RNAcentral lists this ribosomal RNA (775 nucleotides) under Phylloporus luxiensis. Its description in RNAcentral is "eukaryotic LSU rRNA". The stretch from base 424 to 578 matches the Rfam family "5.8S ribosomal RNA". Lineage: Eukaryota; Fungi; Basidiomycota; Agaricomycetes; Boletales; Boletaceae. The record is from RNAcentral.
UCGACGAGCUUAGUUAUUAGGCAGUCUUUCUAACGAGGGGCUGGCGAAAGCAAGCUAAAGGAUCAGGAUCAAAGUUGGGUGUCGAUCUCGACCGUCCGAUCAAGCUUAGUUAUUAGGCAGUCUUUGAAAAGAGGCUGGCGAAAGCAAGCAAGCAAGGCAAGGUCGAUGUCGACGUCAAUGGCAAGUCCUUGAUCUCGUCAAGCUUAGUUACUAGCCAGUCCUUGACUGGCGAAAGCAAGCCGAGGACGAAUGUCGAUGUCGAUGUAGAGGAUGGAAUCAAUGUCGAUCAUCUUAGCUUAGUUACUAGGCAGUCUUUUGGCUGGCGAAAGCAAGCUAGAGGAUGUCGAUGUCGAGGACAUCAAUGGAUCUAUGUCAUCAUCAUCACACACUAUCGUAUGGCCAGAAUGUUUAUAAAUGAAAUACAACUUUCAGCAAUGGAUCUCUUGGUUCUCGCAUCCAUGAAGAACGCAACGAAUUGCGAUAAGUAAUGUGAAUUGCAGAUUUCCAGUGAAUCAUCGAAUCUUUGAACGCAUCUUGCGCUCCUUGGUAUUCCGAGGAGCAUGCCUGUUUGAGUGUCAUUUUAUUAUCAACCACCGUUCUUUAGGGAACGAUGGGUUGGAGUUGGGGGUUGCUGGCGACGACCUGGUCGUCAGCUCUCCUUAAAUGCAUUAGCGAUCGAGUUGGGCUAUCAAGUCUUUCGACAUGCACAGCCAUUGACGUGAUAAUGAUCGUCCUGGCUGGAGUGUCUAACCUAGACUAUGCUACAUAGCAUUGC